This 402-nucleotide ribosomal RNA is filed under the name uncultured bacterium. Its description in RNAcentral is "bacterial SSU rRNA". It matches the Rfam family "Bacterial small subunit ribosomal RNA", at positions 362 to 758 of the family's 1533-position model. The record is from RNAcentral.
UUUUGGACAAUGGGCGCAAGCCUGAUCCAGCCAUGCCGCGUGCGGGAAGAAGGCCUUCGGGUUGUAAACCGCUUUUGUCCCCCCCAGAAACGGUUUGGGCUAAUACCCCGAACUAAUGACGGUACCUGAAGAAUAAGCACCGGCUAACUACGUGCCAGCAGCCGCGGUAAUACGUAGGGUGCAAGCGUUAAUCGGAAUUACUGGGCGUAAAGCGUGCGCAGGCGGCUUUGCAAGACAGAUGUGAAAUCCCCGGGCUCAACCUGGGAACUGCAUUUGUGACUGCAAGGCUGGAGUGCGGCAGAGGGGGAUGGAAUUCCGCGUGUAGCAGUGAAAUGCGUAGAUAUGCGGAGGAACACCGAUGGCGAAGGCAAUCCCCUGGGCCUGCACUACGCUCAGCAGAAA